RNAcentral lists this ribosomal RNA (544 nucleotides) under Eduarctus martensii. RNAcentral's name for it is "partial 16S ribosomal RNA". It matches the Rfam family "Bacterial large subunit ribosomal RNA", at positions 1819 to 2625 of the family's 2925-position model. The record is from RNAcentral. Lineage: Eukaryota; Metazoa; Arthropoda; Malacostraca; Decapoda; Scyllaridae.
GUCUUUACGAAAUCAAGUUUAUGUAAAGUCUGGCCUGCCCAAUGAUGUAAAAUUUAAUGGCCGCGGUAUAUUGACUGUGCGAAGGUAGCAUAAUAAUUAGUUCUUUAAUUGAGAACUGGAAUGAAAGGCUGAACAAGAAGCUAGCUGUCUCUGUAUAAAACCUUGAAUUUAACUUUUAAGUGAAAAGGCUUAAAUAAGCUAGGGGGACGAUAAGACCCUAUGAAUCUUUAUGCCUGAGCUUGUGGGGCAAAAGAGUGUUAAAGUUUUGCCAAACAUUGUCGGGUAUUUUGUUGGGGCGACAGGAGCAUAAAAAUUAACUGCUCUAAAUUUAUAGUUAGUGAUAUUUAGUUAAGUGAUCCUCUAAUAGGGAUAUUAGUCUAAGUUACUCUAGGGAUAACAGCGUAAUUUUUUUUGAGAGUUCAUAUCGAGAAAAAAGUUUGCGACCUCGAUGUUGAAUUAAAGAUCCUUUGCGGCGGAGAAGCCGUGAAAGGAGGUCUGUUCGACCUUUAAACCUUUACAUGAUUUGAGUUCAGACCGGCGUAAG